UGAAUCCGCCAUUUUCAUAAAAAUCGAACCCCCCCUCCCCCCGGACUUCAUCUUCAUCACCCAUCAACACAAGAGGACCCAAUUCGCCUCUCUCCUCCUUCAGAUUUUCCUCAUCCUCUAUCCCUCAAAAUCAAAGAGAUAUGGAAAAGACACAAAACACCAUGAGAGCCAUGUGAAAAAUUGCCCAAAGCUGCCCCAUUUUAGCUCCAAAACAUUGGUCCUAAAACCGGCCCAAUAAAGAUGACGAAUCCAAGCUAAAAUCGCUGCCAGUUCCGCUGCAAAACAACCCCGAAAUCCCCAUCAAAACAGUCCUAAAACUCAGCCUUUAAUCACCUAAAAAACCUUCCAAAACACCACCUCAAAUCACCCCCAAAUCAGCUCUGUUUUCUGCUCAGAAAACGCCAUCUAUACAGCCCAGAGACGAGCUCAAAUCCACCCCCAAAACGAGCCAAAGACUUGCGGAAAUCAGCUAAAAAUGCAGCAAGUUCAGCUCCAAAACCACUUCAAAACCCCUCCCAAAAUCAAUUAAAAAUCCACAACAAAAAAACCUGUAAGCCAGCUUUUAAAAAUCAGCAGGAUGCCGGUUUUGUCUCUUCAUUUUAGUCGAGUUAUAAAAGGUAUAAAAGGUUGAAACGUGAGGUUGUGUUCGAGGUUUCGGUGCUGUCGGUUUACUGUUCGAGCUCCAGUAGUGAUUUCGACCCUUUAGCAUUUUCGGAAUAACCAUUUGCCCGUUGUAUAAACCAAGCUGGAAAGUUUAUUAAUUGAAUUGAAGCUACGGCUAUUGAAGGAUUAUGAGCAUAAGAAGAAGGCCAUAAGAUGCACAAAAGUUAGCUAGUCUGUUGGAACUAGUGUGAGGUACCCGCAGAAAGGACCAUCUUUGGGAGAAGUGAUCUGAGUAUCCCAUGAGCCACUAGUGCUUCGGCCUUUGGCCUGUGAAUUGGAUAUGAAAGUAGAGCAAAAGGGAUACUUAAACGUUGAAAGUGUGCCCGAGAACAGUAAAAAGGAGAAAGCUGGAGAAGCCAGGCUUGUAUGUAGGCGUUAUACCUAGCGAGGCCAGGUAAAGGCCAGGUCCACCAGGCAUUAUGCCUAGCGACGCCAGGCCUGGGGCGAGAUCCAUUCCGAGUUUUGAAGAUUUAUUUCGUCUCCUGGUUUGACUAGGACUUGACCUAUACGUGUAGGUCUUUUCCUACACAUAUAAAUAGACCUAAAACGCCACUUUGAAAGGGAUUCAACCUAGGGAGAGCAAGAAGCUUCCGUGAAGGACGAGUUUCAUCUUUUCUUCCACCAAACUUUGUAAUUUUUAUGUUUCUUUGUAUGAUUUGUUGUUUGGCUACCAUG
Nicotiana tabacum (common tobacco) is the source of this 1338-nucleotide long non-coding RNA. RefSeq lists it as uncharacterized. The record is from RefSeq and is a predicted model, not a curated record. Lineage: Eukaryota; Viridiplantae; Streptophyta; Magnoliopsida; Solanales; Solanaceae.